GGAAGGGUACAGCUCAGUGGUUGAGCACAUGCUUAGCAUACAUGAGGUCCUGGGUUCAAUCCCCAGUACUUCCA
Camelus ferus (Wild Bactrian camel) is the source of this 74-nucleotide non-coding RNA. NCBI's taxonomy places the organism in Eukaryota, Metazoa, Chordata, Mammalia, Artiodactyla, Camelidae. The record is from Rfam.